UGUGUGUAAUGCAUACGCCAAAUGCCAAUUUUGCGUGCUUAUGAUACGCCAAUCCUUCACAUUAAUUUUGUUGGAGAACAGAUGCGUCCAAAUAUCACGCAUCAUCUUCAGCGGUAGUGACGUCACCAGCGAGGCUCGUCCAGUUCACCUGAUGCGCGUACACCUUCAAACAGGUAAGUAAGGUUACGUUGGAUUACAUACUCCACAAGAACCUGUAAUCCAGCAGCUCUUUAAAGAAGCCAUCUCUUGUAAAAUCUCUCUCUCACUCUCUCUCUCUCUCUCUCUCUCUGCUAGAAUUAACAGGGGACUUCAACUCCACGCUUCCAAUGCUGAUUUUGAAGAAGCUGUCAAGGGGGCUGAACAAGUCCUUCAAAGGUUCAACCCUUCACAGGAAGGCCUGUCAUGAGAUUUGAAUUUGACCAUCUUGUGCAUUUAUGAAGAAGACCAAAAGCUGCAAAGGCAAACACUUCCAAUGGUAGAAACUGAGAGUUUGCAUGAUGGCAUUUUCUCAGACGCUGAAUCUGAUGUGUACAGAUGAACUCAGGAGCCUGCUAGAGUUGCCAGGGAAUUUGAGCUUGAACUGAAGACCAGAAACGCAGAGAAAAUCAGUCAAACCAGUCCUAAAGAAAUGAGGAAUGAACAUGGACUUCUUGUGCCCCAAAAGAAAAGACAGAAAGGUGAAAAAAUGAGCAAAUCAGCUGUGCAUCAUCUCUGUGAUUUGGGAAGGAAAUGACUGAAUAUG
Long non-coding RNA from Carassius carassius (crucian carp), 742 nucleotides. RefSeq lists it as uncharacterized. The record is from RefSeq and is a predicted model, not a curated record. The transcript is spliced from 6 exons. Lineage: Eukaryota; Metazoa; Chordata; Actinopteri; Cypriniformes; Cyprinidae.